Molecule: ribosomal RNA, 1521 nt
Filed under: Shigella dysenteriae
Lineage: Bacteria; Pseudomonadati; Pseudomonadota; Gammaproteobacteria; Enterobacterales; Enterobacteriaceae
Description: bacterial SSU rRNA
Rfam family: Bacterial small subunit ribosomal RNA
Source: RNAcentral
AGAGUUUGAUCAUGGCUCAGAUUGAACGCUGGCGGCAGGCCUAACACAUGCAAGUCGAACGGUAACAGGAAGCAGCUUGCUGCUUCGCUGACGAGUGGCGGACGGGUGAGUAAUGUCUGGGAAACUGCCUGAUGGAGGGGGAUAACUACUGGAAACGGUAGCUAAUACCGCAUAAUGUCGCAAGACCAAAGAGGGGGACCUUCGGGCCUCUUGCCAUCGGAUGUGCCCAGAUGGGAUUAGCUUGUUGGUGGGGUAACGGCUCACCAAGGCGACGAUCCCUAGCUGGUCUGAGAGGAUGACCAGCCACACUGGAACUGAGACACGGUCCAGACUCCUACGGGAGGCAGCAGUGGGGAAUAUUGCACAAUGGGCGCAAGCCUGAUGCAGCCAUGCCGCGUGUAUGAAGAAGGCCUUCGGGUUGUAAAGUACUUUCAGCGGGGAGGAAGGGAGUAAAGUUAAUAUCUUUGCUCAUUGACGUUAUCCGCAGAAGAAGCACCGGCUAACUCCGUGCCAGCAGCCGCGGUAAUACGGAGGGUGCAAGCGUUAAUCGGAAUUACUGGGCGUAAAGCGCACGCAGGCGGUUUGUUAAGUCAGAUGUGAAAUCCCCGGGCUCAACCUGGGAACUGCAUCUGAUACUGGCAAGCUUGAGUCUCGUAGAGGGGGUAGAAUUCCAGGUGUAGCGGUGAAAUGCGUAGAGAUCUGGAGGAAUACCGGUGGCGAAGGCGGCCCCCUGGACGAAGACUGACGCUCAGGUGCGAAAGCGUGGGGAGCAAACAGGAUUAGAUACCCUGGUAGUCCACGCCGUAAACGAUGUCGACUUGGAGGUUGUGCCCUUGAGGCGUGGCUUCCGGAGCUAACGCGUUAAGUCGACCGCCUGGGGAGUACGGCCGCAAGGUUAAAACUCAAAUGAAUUGACGGGGGCCCGCACAAGCGGUGGAGCAUGUGGUUUAAUUCGAUGCAACGCGAAGAACCUUACCUGGUCUUGACAUCCACGGAAGUUUUCAGAGAUGAGAAUGUGCCUUCGGGAGCCGUGAGACAGGUGCUGCAUGGCUGUCGUCAGCUCGUGUUGUGAAAUGUUGGGUUAAGUCCCGCAACGAGCGCAACCCUUAUCCUUUGUUGCCAGCGGUCCGGCCGGGAACUCAAAGGAGACUGCCAGUGAUAAACUGGAGGAAGGUGGGGAUGACGUCAAGUCAUCAUGGCCCUUACGACCAGGGCUACACACGUGCUACAAUGGCGCAUACAAAGAGAAGCGACCUCGCGAGAGCAAGCGGACCUCAUAAAGUGCGUCGUAGUCCGGAUUGGAGUCUGCAACUCGACUCCAUGAAGUCGGAAUCGCUAGUAAUCGUGGAUCAGAAUGCCACGGUGAAUACGUUCCCGGGCCUUGUACACACCGCCCGUCACACCAUGGGAGUGGGUUGCAAAAGAAGUAGGUAGCUUAACCUUCGGGAGGGCGCUUACCACUUUGUGAUUCAUGACUGGGGUGAAGUCGUAACAAGGUAACCGUAGGGGAACCUGCGGUUG